UUCCGGUUGAUCCUGCCCGGAGGUCACUGCUAUGGGAUUCGAUUAAGCCAUGCGAGUCGAGAGGGGUUCGGCCCUCGGCUGACGGCUCAGUAACACGUGGAUAAUCUGCCCUUAGGUGGAGGAUAAUCUCGGGAAACUGAGGACAAUACUCCAUAGGUUUAGGUGGCUGGAAUGCAUCUAGACUGAAAGCUCCAGCGCCUAAGGAUGAGUCUGCGGACUAUCAGGUAGUAGUCAGGGUAAAGACCUGACUAGCCUACGACGGAUACGGGUUGCGAGAGCAAUAACCCGGAGACGAUACCUGAGACACGAUAUCGGGCCCUACGGGGCGCAGCAGGCGCGAAAACUUCACACUGUGCGAAAGCACGAUGAGGGAAUCCCAAGUGCUUGCUCGUAAGAGUAAGCUGUUUUUCUGUCUAAAACGCAGAGAGAGUAAGAGCUGGGUAAGACGGGUGCCAGCCGCCGCGGUAAUACCUGCAGCUCAAGUGGUGGCCGCUAUUAUUGGGCCUAAAACGUCCGUAGCCGGUUUAGUAAAUGCCUGGGUAAAUCGUGUAGCUUAACUAUACGAAUUCCGGGUAGACUGCUAAACUUGAGACCGGGAGAAGCCAGAGGUACUCCUAGGGUAGAGGUGAAAUUCUGUAAUCCUAGGGGGACCACCAGUGGCGAAGGCGUCUAGCUAGAACGGGUCUGACGGUGAGGGACGAAACCCUGGGGCGCAAACCGGAUUAGAUACCCGGGUAGUCCAGGGCGUAAACGCUGCUCGCUUGAUGUUAGUUGGGCUCCGAGCCCAAUUAGUGUCGGAGAGAAGUUGUUAAGCGAGCUGCCUGGGAAGUACGGUCGCAAGGCUGAAACUUAAAGGAAUUGGCGGGGGAGCACAGCAACGGGUGGAGCGUGCGGUUUAAUUGGACUCAACGCCGGA
Molecule: ribosomal RNA, 916 nt
Filed under: uncultured archaeon
Lineage: Archaea
Description: bacterial SSU rRNA
Rfam family: Archaeal small subunit ribosomal RNA
Source: RNAcentral